This is a long non-coding RNA of Rhipicephalus sanguineus (brown dog tick), 626 nucleotides long. RefSeq lists it as uncharacterized. The record is from RefSeq and is a predicted model, not a curated record. The transcript has 4 exons. NCBI's taxonomy places the organism in Eukaryota, Metazoa, Arthropoda, Arachnida, Ixodida, Ixodidae.
UUAUUCACGCCGCGUCUCGUUAUGCAGGUCACGGCCGUGAAUAGAGAGGAGAAUUGUGCCUUUUUACAACGCGCACAAUGUACUACGUGGACGACCGAUUCACUGAUCGAGCAUUUGCGUAUCGGCAUGGCUUGGUGUCUUCGUACCAGGAGCCAGGCCUCAUGGUUCUACCAACAGCGCUCUAAGUGAAGUCAUCAAGAACUUUAUUGACAAGUCCUGAGGAGUUUAAGCCGCCGGGGAAUCCACGAGGGACACCCUAGCAGCCGCUACCGUAGGCGACGCCCGAGUCGGGGCGGGAACGUGGUGGCGUUCCGCCAGUUCUUGGGCCCUCCAGACUGCCUUGAGUUGGGGGUGGAGCUCGGAGCUACUGAGUGCCUCUUCCCAGUCGAACUAACUGGUGACUGGUCCCCGAGGAUCCGGAGAGUAGCAGAAUUCGCGACGUGUCCUGCGCUGCCCAGGGGUUCAGCUGUUUCGACAAUGCUUCGCAGCGGCUCGGUUACCCAUACCAGCGUACUUGGUGUCUUCUCCAUCUGGUACUCUGGGGUUCUGUCGAUCAAGUGUUCUGCACGACCGAGCGUGCUUGUCAGCGAGUUGCGUUCUCACCGCAAUCGAGAUGUUCAACCAUU